CGUCUUCCUAUGAAUGACACCCGAAGCUGCCCCUGGCUCCCACCUGCACUCACACAUAUUUGAUUUUAAACUUGCAAUGGAAGGGGGAGAGAUUUCUUGGAUUACUGAUAGACGUAUCUUCCCAGCUCUCAGUUGGCACUUUGAUUUGAGCACUUGUUCUCCUGGAGUGUGUCAUUGUGGCCACCGGGUGUGUUCUCCAGUCCUGACUUCAUGGUGGUCCUCUAGAGCUCAAGAACCUCAACUUCUGAGUGUACAUCACGGUAGACAUCCCUCUGCAGAAGGGGACAUAAGCCACCAGAGAUCUAGCACCUUCUGUCAGCUAGAGUGCUGCUGGCUGCCCGCCC
Molecule: long non-coding RNA, 344 nt
Filed under: Rattus norvegicus (Norway rat)
Lineage: Eukaryota; Metazoa; Chordata; Mammalia; Rodentia; Muridae
Description: long non-coding RNA NONRATT008667
Source: RNAcentral